Long non-coding RNA from Hemiscyllium ocellatum (epaulette shark), 1436 nucleotides. RefSeq lists it as uncharacterized. The transcript is spliced from 6 exons. The record is from RefSeq and is a predicted model, not a curated record. Lineage: Eukaryota; Metazoa; Chordata; Chondrichthyes; Orectolobiformes; Hemiscylliidae.
CGGCGCAAGUUGCCGCCGCCGCCACUCGGCCAACGGUUCUUCACAUCACAAAACAAGCUCCGCCACCAGUUUACCUCCCUCCCUCCCUCUCUCCAACUUCUCACUGCGCUGACAUUCAUUCCAAAUGACGAACACUUCUUCAAACCAUUCCAGUCCGAACGAUUCAGCAGUACACCAAUUGCGCCGAGCUUUCACAUUGAAAUGUACCCAACUGGCCCACGUCUUUGCAGGAUGACCAUCUGUAGCGAGGAAGCCCUACCAACCAUCUGAAUAGAGUGGCAUCACUGAGGGAUUGUGUCCAGCUGCAUUUAUGUCCAGUGGAGCAUCAUGCUGGAUUGUUAAAGUCCUAAUCACCACUUUUCAGGACAGAAGUCAACAGGAUUCAAAAUGCUACACUUGACCCAAUGUGAAUUUGAUAAUUAAGUUGAAAGCUUGAGGUCUUGUUGCCUUUUCACCUCAGAGAACAACCAUUAGCUGUUUCAGUUUUCGUGCACCUGUGCUGAUUAUUGUCUGUAUAAACACUUCCAGCUAUUGACUGACUUGUUGGUUCUUUCUUAAAGUGAACUCCUGAUUGCUGUUAUGCGAUUCUUGUCCUCGUCACUGGAUGUAGUGGUGCUUGGAAGACUGGACUCCGCGUCGCCAUCACAUGCUCAGUUGACUCAUGUGCAUUCUUGUGAAGAGCUUUGUGAAAGAGAAUGGAAUAAAUGAUUGGAUUACAUUCUGUACAGUGUGGAAAGAAGCCAUGUGGCCCACAACUCCACACCAACCAUCUGAAGAGUAAUCGACCUAUCCCUGACUAAUGCACCUAACACUAUAGGCAAUUUAACAUGACCAAUUCACCUGAACUGCACAUCUUUGGACAGUGGGAGGAAAUCGGAACACCUGGAGGAAACCCAUGCAGACACAGGAAGAAUAUGUAAACUCCACACAGACAGUCGCCCGAGGCGGGAAUCGAACCUGGGUCUCUAGGGGUAUGAGGCAGCAAUACUAACCGCUGAGCCACCAUGCCGCUCUACUAUUGGAAAGUGAAUCGUAAUGAGUGCAUAUUUUACUUCCUGGUUUGUGAUCUGAAAAUUGUUGCUAGCUGUCUAGAAAUCAUCUUGAUUUAGUGCUAGAUUUAAACCUGUGUUGGAAGGAUGAAGUCUGCAGUUCAGAGAUUUUAGAUCUUUGUGGGCAGCUUCAAGGUCAAUGGCAAAUGCAAUUGUUUCACCAAUGAUUACAAAAUCUGGCCAUUACUUAUGCAAAUAUGUUGUAAUGAUUGCAAUGAGGUCAGCCAAGUGGACCUCAUAGGAUAUGUGUUUCCGGAUUGGGGGUGUAAAUCUGGUCCAAUCAGAGAGCCCUCGCUGGUAGAUAAAAGCAGGAGUGUCAGACAUCCUGACACACUGAGAGCUGACUCUAAGGGUGCUUGAUCUGUGUCAAGGACUUUCAGCUUGUAA